ACGGAAGGCAGCAGUGGGGGAUAUUGCACAAUGGGGGAAACCCUGAUGCAGCGACGCCGCGUGAGUGAAGAAGUAUUUCGGUAUGUAAAGCUCUAUCAGCAGGAAAGAUAAUGACGGUACCUGACUAAGAAGCUCCGGCUAAAUACGUGCCAGCAGCCGCGGUAAUACGUAGGGGGCAAGCGUUAUCCGGAUUUACUGGGUGUAAAGGGAGCGUAGGUGGCAUGGCAAGUCAGAAGUGAAACCCCAGGGCUUAACUUUGGGAUUGCUUUUGAAACUGUCAGGCUAGAGUACAGGAGGGGUAAGCGGAAUUCCCAGUGUAGCGGUGAAAUGCGUAGAUAUUGGGAAGAACACCGGCGGCGAAGGCGGCUUACUGGACUGAAACUGACACUGAGGCUCGAAAGCGUGGGGAGCAAACAGGAUUAGAUACCCUGGUA
RNAcentral lists this ribosomal RNA (434 nucleotides) under uncultured Lachnospiraceae bacterium. RNAcentral's name for it is "partial 16S ribosomal RNA". It matches the Rfam family "Bacterial small subunit ribosomal RNA", at positions 341 to 792 of the family's 1533-position model. Lineage: Bacteria; Bacillati; Bacillota; Clostridia; Lachnospirales; Lachnospiraceae. The record is from RNAcentral.